UCGGCGUGCCUAAUACAUGCAAGUUGAGCGAUGAAGAUUGGUGCUUGCACCAAUUUGAAGAGCAGCGAACGGGUGAGUAACGCGUGGGGAAUCUGCCUUUGAGCGGGGGACAACAUUUGGAAACGAAUGCUAAUACCGCAUAAUAACUUUAAACAUAAGUUUUAAGUUUGAAAGAUGCAAUUGCAUCACUCAAAGAUGAUCCCGCGUUGUAUUAGCUAGUUGGUGAGGUAAAGGCUCACCAAGGCGAUGAUACAUAGCCGACCUGAGAGGGUGAUCGGCCACAUUGGGACUGAGACACGGCCCAAACUCCUACGGGAGGCAGCAGUAGGGAAUCUUCGGCAAUGGACGAAAGUCUGACCGAGCAACGCCGCGUGAGUGAAGAAGGUUUUCGGAUCGUAAAACUCUGUUGGUAGAGAAGAACGUUGGUGAGAGUGGAAAGCUCAUCAAGUGACGGUAACUACCCAGAAAGGGACGGCUAACUACGUGCCAGCAGCCGCGGUAAUACGUAGGUCCCGAGCGUUGUCCGGAUUUAUUGGGCGUAAAGCGAGCGCAGGUGGUUUAUUAAGUCUGGUGUAAAAGGCAGUGGCUCAACCAUUGUAUGCAUUGGAAACUGGUAGACUUGAGUGCAGGAGAGGAGAGUGGAAUUCCAUGUGUAGCGGUGAAAUGCGUAGAUAUAUGGAGGAACACCGGUGGCGAAAGCGGCUCUCUGGCCUGUAACUGACACUGAGGCUCGAAAGCGUGGGGAGCAAACAGGAUUAGAUACCCUGGUAGUCCACGCCGUAAACGAUGAGUGCUAGAUGUAGGGAGCUAUAAGUUCUCUGUAUCGCAGCUAACGCAAUAAGCACUCCGCCUGGGGAGUACGACCGCAAGGUUGAAACUCAAAGGAA
Molecule: ribosomal RNA, 887 nt
Filed under: Lactococcus lactis
Lineage: Bacteria; Bacillati; Bacillota; Bacilli; Lactobacillales; Streptococcaceae
Description: bacterial SSU rRNA
Rfam family: Bacterial small subunit ribosomal RNA
Source: RNAcentral